Molecule: unclassified non-coding RNA, 244 nt
Filed under: Hevea brasiliensis (rubber tree)
Lineage: Eukaryota; Viridiplantae; Streptophyta; Magnoliopsida; Malpighiales; Euphorbiaceae
Source: RNAcentral
ACAAAUGCAGCUUCAAGAUUCAACAAUGCAAGUAUGCAAUUUGAAGUGGAUGAGACUAAAUUUGAAGAAUUGAAACUUAUAAAUUUAAUUGAAUUUCCUUUUGCCUUGAAGAAUAUGUUCUAAGGAACGACGACGAUUGUGCCAUGGAAAUUUCAAUAGUAAUUGAGGAAAAACAAUCCACAGAUACAAUAGUGAAGAUCAAAGAAACUCAAAUUGUGAAGUUGAUAGAAGUUGAAGAUUUAUC